Molecule: long non-coding RNA, 1785 nt
Organism: Carassius gibelio (silver crucian carp)
Lineage: Eukaryota; Metazoa; Chordata; Actinopteri; Cypriniformes; Cyprinidae
Exons: 3
Source: RefSeq, a predicted model, not a curated record
ACUAUAAUAAUGAAAAGUUUAUAAUCAAAUAAUGAAAAGUAAAUAAUCAGAUCAGAAAUUGAGGGAUUUUGCAUAAGGGUCGUUUCUGUUGUAAUUGUUUUUAAUGUAGUAAGAUAGUAAAAUAAUAUUUGUAUGUGACGUAUAAACCUAAGCAUCAUAUCAAAGUUGCUAAAUGUAAAUUUUACCCCAGGCUAUAGUCAUAUAGUACAUUAUAAAUAAAUAACCUCUCUAAAUAAAUUUAUUUUACAUGAUUUUAACAAUCACAUGACAUUAUGUUGCAUUUCCCAUUUUUUAAAAAUAUAGAUUUCUGAUAUUGCAAUAAUUGCUGUUAUAUUUAGUAUUUAAAUCAUACUAAACUUCAGGUUGUGUCAUUCCUAAAACUCCUUUUCUGUGUUUGCUUCAUGUGAUAUUUUGAAAAAAGAAGGAGAAAAACAUCAGUCUAAUUGGAAAAUGUUUGCAGUCUUUGUUUCUUUCUUUCUUUUUUACAUUUCUGUGAGCUAUUAAUUAAAUUGCUGGCAUCUUUAAACUGACUGUCAUGAUAAAGAUCUCGGCGUGAGAUUAGCCAUGACACUAGACAUCUGACCUCAAAGUAAUUAUUUGCAAAAAAUGCUGACUAACAAAUUACAAAUUUACAUGUGUAUAUAUAGCCUAUAUAUUUAUGGAGUCUGCCCUACGACUGUAUUUACAGACUUGUUUCCCACAGAAGAGAUGAAGAUUGUCUGGCUUGCUCUUUUCCUGUCAGCUCAUUGUGAGCUGAGUUUAACUUUGAUCAGGAAACACAUUUUUAUCAGUUAUGCUAAGACUUGGAGUGAAGCUCAAAAGUUUUGCAGAGAGAAUUAUGCCGACCUGUCCACCAUAGACAGCGAUGAGGAGCUUACAAGGUUCAAAAGUGAUUCAAAUGAUCAGAAAGCAGAUAGCACAGAGAGCUGGGUUGGACUGAACAAACUCUCUGCUGACCAUCAAUGGGUGUGGAGUGAUGGAAGCACAGAAAGGUCUAUGCCAUGGAAGUCUGAUCAACCAGACGAGCCAGAGACAGCCUUUUGCAGUAAGAGUUCAGGUGGGGAACUUUAUGAUUAUGCUUGUGAUAUGAAGUACCCUUUUUUCUGUUAUAAGUGGGUGCCUGAACUGAUCCUGGUAACGGAGAAGAAGAGCUGGGAGGAGGCGUUAGAACACUGCAGGUCUCAACACUCUGACCUGGCCUCUCUGCCAACCAGUUUACAUCUCUUCCAAGCCAAUAACAAGACAGCAGACAUGCAAACCGACGGCGUGUGGACAGGUCUGCGCUUCCUGGCAGGGUCCUGGUUCUGGGUCAGUGGGGAGUCUCUGGGAAAUUUGGUCCAGCUGCCGGAAUGCCCCGCCAGUCCCCUUUACUGUGGAUCUCGAAACCUAGCAGCUAAACGCUGGGAGAGCAGAGACUGUGAAACUAAACUUAACUUUGUAUGUUAUUAAAGAUCAGGUCUUCCUCGGAGGAGCUGAGAAGAGUGCGAGAAAUAAACAGAUGAAGAAAUUCCAAAAACAUCAAAGUAGACCUUUAUUUGACUUAAAAUCAGUGAAUCUGCUUUAUGUCUAUAGUUUAUGUAAAAGUAGUGGUGUAGUAUUUAGGUUUAUGCAUUGUAUAUCUCUAUAUGCUAUGUUUAUGUUAUUUAAAAUAUGAAAAAGGGUCGUAGAUGUGAACAUGUUACUUGAAAAACACCUGAUGAUGCAUCACUUUACACUUUGUAACACUAACUAUACUUUUAGUUAGAGUGUAUUGAUGUCAUAGAUUUACCUUUUAGAAGCAAUUUU